This 373-nucleotide ribosomal RNA is filed under the name uncultured organism. RNAcentral describes it as "bacterial SSU rRNA". It matches the Rfam family "Bacterial small subunit ribosomal RNA", at positions 526 to 896 of the family's 1533-position model. The record is from RNAcentral.
CGUAGGGCGCAAGCGUUGUCCGGAAUUAUUGGGCGUAAAGAGCUCGUAGGCGGCUUGUCACGUCGGGUGUGAAAGCCCGGGGCUUAACCCCGGGUCUGCAUUCGAUACGGGCUGGCUAGAGUGUGGUAGGGGAGAUCGGAAUUCCUGGUGUAGCGGUGAAAUGCGCAGAUAUCAGGAGGAACACCGGUGGCGAAGGCGGAUCUCUGGGCCAUUACUGACGCUGAGGAGCGAAAGCGUGGGGAGCGAACAGGAUUAGAUACCCUGGUAGUCCACGCCGUAAACGGUGGGAACUAGGUGUUGGCGACAUUCCACGUCGUCGGUGCCGCAGCUAACGCAUUAAGUUCCCCGCCUGGGGAGUACGGCCGCAAGGCUA